UACGGAGGAUGCGAGCGUUAUCCGGAUUUAUUGGGUUUAAAGGGUGCGUAGGCGGAUUUUUAAGUCAGCGGUAAAAUGUCCGGGCUCAACCCGGGCCGGCCGUUGAAACUGGGGAUCUUGAGUGGGCGAGAAGUAUGCGGAAUGCGUGGUGUAGCGGUGAAAUGCAUAGAUAUCACGCAGAACUCCGAUUGCGAAGGCAGCAUGCCGGCGCCCGACUGACGCUGAGGCACGAAAGCGUGGGGAUCGAACAGG
Molecule: ribosomal RNA, 252 nt
Filed under: uncultured bacterium
Lineage: Bacteria
Description: partial 16S ribosomal RNA
Rfam family: Bacterial small subunit ribosomal RNA
Source: RNAcentral